Molecule: long non-coding RNA, 506 nt
Filed under: Ictidomys tridecemlineatus (thirteen-lined ground squirrel)
Lineage: Eukaryota; Metazoa; Chordata; Mammalia; Rodentia; Sciuridae
Description: lncRNA (ENSSTOG00000030026.1)
Source: RNAcentral
CUUCAGAGUCAAAAGGUAAGGAGCUCUCCCAGUGAAACGGGACACCACCAUUUCCAGGACCCAAGGCCUUGGCGAUUGAACCAUGGUGCAGCUCCCAUUCCGAAGCAGCUGGCCGGUGACAAAGGCGCCAGUCUGCAGCCUGAAGGUGCCCUGGGAGAGUCUGACUUGGGCUGAAGAUGUGACCAAGGCGAACCAAGGCUUUAGGACACCCCGGAUCCUGAAGAUGCAUCCCCAGACUUCAGGAUGGAGGUUAGCAUGGGACCCAUCCAUGCCCACUGCUCCCUCAUUCAUAAAAUAAUACUUAUUGAAUACCUUCUGUGUGCUGUACAUUGGCUGUUUAAAAUACAUCAGAAAAGGAAGCAGCUGGGCACAGUAAUGACACAUGCCUGUAAUACCAGCAACUUUGGAGGCUGAGGCAGGAAAAUCACCAGUUCAAACAAAGCCAGCCUGAGCAAAUUAGCAUGGUCCUAAGCAACUUAGAGAGACCCUGUCUCAAAAUUAAAAUA